This is a non-coding RNA of Peromyscus maniculatus bairdii (prairie deer mouse), 369 nucleotides long. NCBI's taxonomy places the organism in Eukaryota, Metazoa, Chordata, Mammalia, Rodentia, Cricetidae. The record is from RefSeq and is a predicted model, not a curated record.
AGACCACCCAGAUGUUCCUGACCCUGAGCUAUUGUGCACUUACAUUCAUGAGAUGAGCACCUAACCUCCGUUCAGUGGCCACCUCCCUAGAGAAGCCCACUCUCACCAUGCAAACUAAGGUGUUUUGCCUAUAUAUCUGUCUGUGACCAUGGACAUACAGUGCUGGAAGAGGCCAGAAGAGAUCAUUAGAUCUCCUGGAACUGGAGUUGCAGAUGGUUGUGAGCUGCUGUUUUUAGAAGGUUAGUCCGUGAUCAUCAUGGCUGGAAGCAGACAGGCACUGAUGAAGUAGCUGAGAACUUUACAUCCUGAUCCACAAGGAGAGGCAGCAGGAGAAAGAGACUGGGCCUAGUGUGAGCUUCUGAAACCUCA